AUGCAAGUCGAACGGUAACAUUUCUAGCUUGCUAGAAGAUGACGAGUGGCGGACGGGUGAGUAAUGCUUGGGAACUUGCCUUUGCGAGGGGGAUAACAGUUGGAAACGACUGCUAAUACCGCAUAAUGUCUUCGGACCAAACGGGGCUUCGGCUCCGGCGCAAAGAGAGGCCCAAGUGAGAUUAACUAGUUGGUAAGGUAACGGCUUACCAAGGCGACGAUCUCUAGCUGUUCUGAGAGGAAGAUCAGCCACACUGGGACUGAGACACGGCCCAGACUCCUACGGGAGGCAGCAGUGGGGAAUAUUGCACAAUGGGGGAAACCCUGAUGCAGCCAUGCCGCGUGUGUGAAGAAGGCCUUCGGGUUGUAAAGCACUUUCAGUUGUGAGGAAAAGUUAGUAGUUAAUACCUGCUAGCCGUGACGUUAACAACAGAAGAAGCACCGGCUAACUCCGUGCCAGCAGCCGCGGUAAUACGGAGGGUGCGAGCGUAAAUCGGAAUUACUGGGCGUAAAGCGCCAUGCAAUGCGGAU
This 530-nucleotide ribosomal RNA is filed under the name uncultured Pseudoalteromonas sp. RNAcentral's name for it is "bacterial SSU rRNA". It matches the Rfam family "Bacterial small subunit ribosomal RNA", at positions 55 to 580 of the family's 1533-position model. The record is from RNAcentral. Lineage: Bacteria; Pseudomonadati; Pseudomonadota; Gammaproteobacteria; Alteromonadales; Pseudoalteromonadaceae.